AACGAACGCUGGCGGCAUGCCUAACACAUGCAAGUCGAACGAAACCUUCGGGUCUAGUGGCGCACGGGUGCGUAACGCGUGGGAACCUGCCCUUAGGUUCGGAAUAACUCCCCGAAAGGGGUGCUAAUACCGGAUAAUGUCUUCGGACCAAAGAUUUAUCGACCUUGGAUGGGCCCGCGUUGGAUUAGCUAGUUGGUAGGGUAAAAGCCUACCAAGGCGACGAUCCAUAGCUGGUCUGAGAGGAUGAUCAGCCACACUGGGACUGAGACGCGGCCCAGACUCCUACGGGAUGCAGCAGUGGGGAAUAUUGGACAACGGGCGAAAGCAUGAUCCAGCAAUGCCGCGUGAGUGAUGAAGGCAUUAGGGUUGUAAAGCUCUUUUACCCGGGAUGAUAAUGACAGUACCGGGAGAAUAAGCCCCGGCUAACUCCGUG
RNAcentral lists this ribosomal RNA (433 nucleotides) under uncultured bacterium. RNAcentral describes it as "partial 16S ribosomal RNA". It matches the Rfam family "Bacterial small subunit ribosomal RNA", at positions 29 to 507 of the family's 1533-position model. The record is from RNAcentral.